This 901-nucleotide ribosomal RNA is filed under the name Candidatus Aminicenantota bacterium. RNAcentral's name for it is "partial 23S ribosomal RNA". It matches the Rfam family "Bacterial large subunit ribosomal RNA", at positions 2097 to 2925 of the family's 2925-position model. The record is from RNAcentral. Lineage: Bacteria; Candidatus Aminicenantota.
AGCUUUACUAUAGCUUGACAUUGGUAUGGGGCAUAACUUGCGCAGGAUAGGUGGGAGGCUUUGAACCUCGAUCUCUGGAUCGGGGGGAGCCAUCCUUGAGAUACCACCCUUGUUAUGUCUUAUGUCUAACUCCGGCCUUCAAAAGCUUCUACGGUUAGUGUUUUUUAGUUUUAGUCUAUUUUUAAAUAUGGGCUAGUUCUAACAAUCACUAACUUCACUAGAGGUUUCUGCAGGUCGGAGAACAGUGUUUGGUGGGUAGUUUGACUGGGGCGGUCGCCUCCUAAAUUGUAACGGAGGCGCGCAUUAUGGUUCUCUUGCACCGGAUGGAAAUCGGUGUGAAAGUGUAUUCGCAUAAGAGAGCUUAACUGUGAGACCUACAAGUCGAGCAGGUGCGAAAGCAGGCGAAAGUGAUCCGGUACUUCCACGUGGGUGGGGUAUCGCUCAACGGAUAAAAGUUACGCCGGGGAUAACAGGCUAAUAGCGCCCAAGCGCCCACAGCGACGGCGCUGUUUGGCACCUCGAUGUCGGCUCAUCUCAUCCUGGGGGUGAAGAAGCUCCCAAGGGUUUGGCUGUUCGCCAAUUAAAGAGGUACGCGAGCUGGGUUCAGAACGUCGUGAGACAGUUCGGUCCAUAUCUUCUGUGGCCGUUGGAAAUUUGAGGGAAUCUGCUCCUAGUACGAGAGGACCGGAGUGGACGAACCUCUGGUGUACCAGUUGUCCUGUCCAGGGCACUGCUGGGUAGCUACGUUCGGUCGUGAUAACCGCUGAAAGCAUCUAAGCGGGAAGCCGUACCCGAGAUUAAAUUUCCCCAUAGCCUCCAGGAAGACUACCUGGUUGAUAGGCCUCAGGUGUACGCACAGCAAUGUGUUUAGCCGAGAGGUACUAAUAGGCGAUUGAACUUA